GCUCACAUGGCAGCAGAAACAUUGAUCACCUGGAUGGGAUGACAAUCCUCAGCAUUCUCAGACAGUUGCUUUUAUAAAGAAUGAAAUGUCUUCGUCUGGUGGAAACAGUGAUUGGAACACUAACAAAAUAUCAUUCUAAUGUGGCGGAGAUGGACAUUUUACUCUACUGGAAUUCACAACUUCUAUUAAAGGAGAAAAAAAAGAGGCGAGAGACAAUUUAGGACUACAUAUCCCAGCAUCCCUCUCCAUUGGCUUUGGUUGCUUAGGACUUCUGGGAGUUCCAUUCCAGCAACAUCUUGUGGAUCACACAAUUCCCAUCCCUGCAGAGCAUUUUAAGGACCUAACCAUUUGGAAUGCAAAGCUGUCUGCCCACUUACAGCUCAAAAGAAUCCAAUAACUAAAACCUCAGACCUCUCCUGUCUCUUGAACAUGAACAAAACUCAUCCCUCAAAAUCCUUUCGGAUGGAACGGUUUGUUCAGUUCUCCCACGGAACCAAAUCAGGACUUGAUUGCACCGCACACUGAAGCUCAGUUGCUGUUAAGUGGACCAUGCUGCCACAUAGUGGAAAUCCAGUGCAUCCUGUCUUCAGCACUCUGCAAUAUGUCUCACAUCUGUAAAGAUGAAAUAAUGAGGCUUGUUCAUUCCUCUAAUAAUUAACGGUGCAUUUGCACUCCACGUGGAUCACUGUUGAUGUUUACUGUUUCAUCAAGUAUGAUGGAUGCCUUGUGUUUGCAAAUUCAGAUUAGCAUAAUUUUUUAACCAAGGGACCCAUGAAAAGGUUCAAUUAUGAAGCAAUCUCAUUAAUACCGGGGCUUGUUAAACUAAUAGAAAGAGACAAGGCCCAACAGCUCUGAUAUGGAUAUGUGUGCUUCGAAUAUAAUUAAUGGAGGAGGAUUCCAGGGCCAAAACAGGCUGGCGUUCUGUGAAAUAUGACAUGCUGGAAUAAUCAGGUCAAUAAAUGCUAC
Long non-coding RNA from Sceloporus undulatus (fence lizard), 966 nucleotides. RefSeq lists it as uncharacterized. The record is from RefSeq and is a predicted model, not a curated record. NCBI's taxonomy places the organism in Eukaryota, Metazoa, Chordata, Lepidosauria, Squamata, Phrynosomatidae. The transcript is spliced from 4 exons.